RNAcentral lists this long non-coding RNA (19690 nucleotides) under Brassica napus (rape). RNAcentral's name for it is "long non-coding RNA (BNAP_LNC013582)". Lineage: Eukaryota; Viridiplantae; Streptophyta; Magnoliopsida; Brassicales; Brassicaceae. The record is from RNAcentral.
UUUCUUCACCGUCCAAGGUUCUUUCUAAUUUUCCAUUCUAUCAAGAAACAUGCAAUGUGUAUAUAGUAGUAACAUCUAUCUUUGUUUCAAUCCGCAGAUACAAAUGUAUGGCGAUACAAUAUUUUCAAAACGAUGUGGGGAUUCCCUCGGGUCCUCCCUCUUGAUACCUUCAGAAACCCGAGCAACGGAUACCUCUUCAAUGGAGAUCACUGCGAGUUUGGUGUUGAUGUGACUAUUCAUACACCCUUUCAAAGAUCAGAACUUUUCACUGUCGCUAGGAAUUUCCCUAACCCGAGGUUCACCUGGAAUAUUCUGAGGUUCUCCACGCUGCUGGGAGAGACUUACUUCUCUGAUGUGUUCUCCAUCGGAGGAAGAAAUUGGUAAGUCCAACAUUAGUUCAAGAGUAGAACUCUUUUGCUUUAGUUAGAAUAUAGUGGUGGUACGUAACAAAUAUUCCAUAUGAUGAUCAGGAAUAUACAAGUGAAUCCAAGUGGCGCUGUAACGGGAGAGGGAAGAGCCUUGUCGAUGUAUCUUCUCCUUAAUGCGAACGAGAGAUUCAGACCCUAUGAGAAGAUUUAUGUUCGAGCCCAGCUUAGGGUUCUUAACCAACGUGCCUCGUCCCAGUGGAGAACCAUCGAAAGGCCAAGUGAGCAAAUGAUAUAUAUCGGUACUCUAUACUAUGGAAACAUCCCUUGUGACUAAUGAAUGGUUUCUGUCAACUUCCUCCAUUUUUGGCAGUCGAUCAUUGGUUCACUGGUCCGGGAUUAGGUUGGGGUUACCAUGAGUUUGUCCCUCUAGCUGAUUUCAGGGAUCCAGAGAGAGGUUAUCUUGUGAAUGAUAAGUUGAUGGUUCAAGUCGAAAUGGAAGCAAUUUCUUCAACCAGGUACUUCCCUAGUUAGAAUUCUCUAACCAAGGAACUUGUAGCUCUAUGUAAUUUGCUAUCUUAUCAACCACUUAAUAAUAAGAAAUGUAUGUGUGUGCGUAUCAAAUAAAUGUCUUCUUUAUAUGUCAACUGUCAUAUUUAUUUUUUCUGCAAUGAUCGACGACGUCUACUGCGGCUCAAAAUCGCAGCUCAAAAUCUGGUUAUAUAAUAUUGUCCUUCUAACAUUAAUUGGAAACGAAACUGACAUUUUCAUGACCAUACUAGUGUUUUGUUUCUUCAAGCAAAAAAUAAAAACGCACUUCAACACGAUAUAUUAAAUAUAUAGCUCACAUGUUCGUUAUAAGAGAGGCAAAAUGUAAAAAGUCACCAUUUUCGGUAUUACGCGUGAUCGUGAUUUAUAAUGAGACUAGAUACAAGUUUUUUUUUCUGAAAAAGGCGACUAGGUACAAAUUGUUAUGAGCCUCAUAACCAAGAGAUUAUGAUUUGUAAUCUUUUCAUUUAUCUAUGACGGUGUAAUCUCCUAUAUAAGGAAUCUCUAUGUUAUGAAUAAAGAUAGACUUUUUCAUUACUUUUAUAACACGUUAUCAGCACGAAACUCUAAAUUCCUAAGCUAAUACCCAAAUCGAAAAACCCUAAAACCCUAACCCCAGCCGGCAAUCCGACGAACCCUAAACCCCGAUCGCGUCUCUUGUUCCCGCGUCUGUUCCAGCUCGCGUCCCCGAUCAGCUUUAGCCCAAGGCGUUCCUGAUCCUAGCUCAGACGUUCGCGGCCCGGGAGCAGCUCCAGCACGCGGCCUCUUCCUCGUUCGCGACAGCAUCAUACAGCUCGCGUCCGACGAUCAAGGCGAUCCCGAUCAAGCAACAAAGGACGUCCGCGACCCGAUAGAAGCGACUCUAUCCAUUCCAGCUCGCGUCCCGUUCGUGUCCCGAUUGCGGCUCAACUCCUUUGGUGGUCCGAUUCAACAAUCAUCUAAGGUUAAAAGGUAAUUCAAAACCUAAGAACCCAUAAUCGAACAUGGAUUGAUUGAUAAAGAAUGAAACCCUAAAACCCUAAUCUUUAUGAAUCAAAACCAUAGGGUAAUAGAUCAAAACCCCAAUGAGUAAAUAGAUUGUAUGCUAAGUUCGAUUAAAUUGAUUGAUCUGAUUAUAUGUUUUUGAGGUUUGAUAAAUUCGGAUACUAGAUAAAUUAUUUACACAUGGUUUAUGCUAAAUACCAAUCAGCCUUGAAACUGAUUCAUUGAAAUUCAUGCUUGAAAUCUAUAUUCUAGUAUUGCUAAAAUCAGCCUUGAAACUGAUUGAGUGAUUAAUAAAUCUUUUUACUAGUUUUGCUAAAAUCCAUUGAUUGUUAAACCCUAAUUGCAUGAUUAAUUGAAUCCGUUUUUGCUAGUUUUGAUAAACCAUAAUAUUAUGAGCACAUAGAAAUAGUAUUGCUGAGACUUGCUAGAAAAUGACUGAUUGAUUAAAUGCCUUUAAGAUUGAUAGUCUCAUUGUCCUCACAAGAUUGAAAUCCGAAUUGAUUAUUUUUUAAGAGUAAGGCCGCAUGAAAAUUAUACCUAAAUAUUGAGUGAUAUAUGAUUUGAGAUGUCGAAAACCAACCUGGAUUUUGCUGCGCUAUAUCUCUCUGGAGAUAAUUAUUUACGGUGGGCAUUGGAGACAAAGAUUAUCCUAAAGUAAAAAAAGACUUGGUGAAUAUAUCAUAGAAGGCAAUAAUGCCAAUGAGAAAGAUUGAUACAUGAUAAUAUUAAUUAUUAGCCAUCAUCUUAUUAAGAGUCGCAAAGAUCAGUAUCUGACUAUAGAGAAUCCUCUAGACCUUUGGACAGAGUUAAAAAUCGAGAUAUGAUCACCAAAGAAUGGUGUUAUUACCAAAUGCCCUAUUUGAUUGGAAGAAUCACAGAAUCCAGGACUAUAAGUCCGUGGAUGAGUCUAUUGCUAGAUGGGCAAAAUAAUGGAUUACUGAUGAGAAACAGUGAAUUGAGACCUCCUGGAUUAACCCCAUUACCUGAUACCAAUAAGACCGCAGAAGAAAAAAAAAAGGUAACCACGUCCAGAAUGAUAGACCACACGGUCAUGGCCGUGGAGGGUGGAAAGGACGUGGCCAUGGCCACUAUAACACAUUUGGCCGUGGGAAUCACUAUGGCAGAGGCCGUGGGUAUCAACCCAAUUUGAGCCAUGGUCAAGGCAGUGGCCGUGGUAUAUCCUUUAAACCACAAAGCUCGACCAAAUCAGUGUNNNNNNNNNNUAAUUGCAUGAUUAAUUGAAUCCGUUUUUGCUAGUCUUGAUAAACCAUAAUAUUAUGAGCACAUAGAAAUAGUAUUGCUGAGACUUGCUAGAAAAUGACUGAUUGAUUAAAUGCCUUUAAGAUUGAUAGUCUCAUUGUCCUCACAAGAUUGAAAUCCGAAUUGAUUAUUUUUUAAGAGUAAGGCCGCAUGAAAAUUAUACCUAAAUAUUGAGUGAUAUAUGAUUUGAGAUGUCGAAAACCAACCUGGAUUUUGCUGCGCUAUAUCUCUCUGGAGAUAAUUAUUUACGGUGGGCAUUGGAGACAAAGAUUAUCCUAAAGUAAAAAAAGACUUGGUGAAUAUAUCAUAGAAGGCAAUAAUGCCAAUGAGAAAGAUUGAUACAUGAUAAUAUUAAUUAUUAGCCAUCAUCUUAUUAAGAGUCGCAAAGAUCAGUAUCUGACUAUAGAGAAUCCUCUAGACCUUUGGACAGAGUUAAAAAUCGAGAUAUGAUCACCAAAGAACGGUGUUAUUACCAAAGGCCCUAUUUGAUUGGAGGAAUCCCAGAAUCCAGGACUAUAAGUCCGUGGAUGAGUCUAUUGCUAGAUGGGCAAAAUAAUGGAUUACUGAUGAGAAACAGUGAAUUGAGACCUCAUGGAUUAACCCCAUUACCUGAUACCAAUAAGGCCGCAGAAGAAAAAAAAAGGUAACCACGUCCAGAAUGAUAGACCACACGGUCAUGGCCGUGGAGGGUGGAAAGGACGUGGCCAUGGCCACUAUAACACAUUUGGCCGUGGGAAUCACUAUGGCAGAGGCCGUGGGUAUCAACCCAAUUUGAGCCAUGGUCAAGGCAGUGGCCGUGGUAUAUCCUUUAAACCACAAAGCUCGACCAAAUCAGUGUGCCAUAGAUGUGGAAUGGGGAACCAUUGGGCUAAGAUAUAAUGGACUCCCAAACAUUUUUGUGACCUCUAUCAAAGAGAGUCUGAAAGGGAAGAAUCCUGAAACCCACUUGGUCUAUAAAGAUGGUGAAAAUAAUUUCGAACAUGAUCAAGAUGAUCUUAUGGAAUAUGAGACUUAUGAUUGCCUAAAAGAAUCAAGUUGAUCAUCUGAUUUCGACAUCAAACUUGUGUGGUUGCUUUGCUUGUAUGGUUUCUCUGAUUUUUAUCUACUUGAAUUUAUUUCUAUUACAUUGUCUGCUUAGAUUAAAUGAAUAAAUGAUUUUUCUAUAUGAGUACACUGAAAAACGCCAAUAUAAGUACUAAAGCAGGUAUCGCCAGUCUGAAAGAAGACAAUGGCUAGGCUAAUAUAUUAUUGCCUAAGGGUAUGCAUCUAGAAAUCAGUGAUGCCUUAUAUUCACCCAUCUUUAAGAGCAAGAGCAGCCUAUUGAGUUUUAAAGAUAUAAGAAUGAAUGGUUUCCAUAUUGAAACAAUGGGCGAAGGAAACAAAGAGUUCCUUCAGAUAUAUGUAUAAAAUCGCCCAAGGCCAUAAUAAGUCCUAAAGACUAUACAUGCAUUCUCUACUGACCUAGACUAUGCAUAGAUCAGUAUGAUAGAGGCUAAAAGCCUGCGAAAAUAUACACUUUAUGGCACGACCGGAUUGGCCAUCCUGGUCCAAACAUGAUGCGAAAAUUGAUAUUCAAAAGGCACACAUUAAAAGAUAAGAAGAGUUAUCCCAAAGAAUCUCACGUGUGUAGCAUGUACACAAGGGAAACUCAUUAGGCCAUCACCAGUAAAACGGCUACGAGCCCCUUUUUCUUAAAUAAAGACUAUAUGUCUAGAUAAUACUGGUGAAUACAUGUUCCAAUCGUUUAAAUGAUUAUGGUAUGUCCAUGGGGGUAAGUGUGGAAAAUUCUGUGAUACAUGUCCAGAACAAGAACGGCUUGGCCGAAAUCUUUUAAAACGCAAAUAGCUGAUUGAUAGACCAUAACUUAUGAGGUCAAAACUCUCAUUCACAUCUUGGGCCACACGAAAUUUACAUGCACAUAAGUUAAUACGCAUCAGGCCAUUUAGUGAGCAUAGAUAUCCCCUAUCACAAUUAUUAACGGGUCAAGAGCCAGACAUACCCCAUCAUAAGAUAUUUGGAUGUGAUGUCUAUGUACUAAUUUCUCCACCACAUAGAACUAAGAUGGGACCUCAAAAGGAGGAUGGAGAUAUAUGUUGGAUAUGAUUCUCCCACAAUAAUAAAGUACUUUGAGCCAACUAUGGGUGAUUAUAUUUGAGGCCAUGUACACGGAUUAUUUUAAGACCAGGGGGAAAAAAUAAUAAUAAAGCUAGUAAAAGAAUGGUAAAAGAAAUAAAAUGGAAUCAACCAUCAAUGUCUUGGCAAGAUCCUCGACCUAAAGAAUGUGAAAUAGACGUCCAAAGAUUAUACAUUUACAAAGCUAGCUAAUCAAAUGCCAGACACAUUUGCUGACCCAAAAAAGAAUGACUAAGUCAUAUAUAAACCAGCUUGUAAAGCACCAACGAAUUUGAUGUCCAAGAAGAGACACAGUCAAGUUGCUACAAAGUCUAGACAACGUAUAAAACGUGGUAGACCAAAUAGGUUCCAAAAGAUAAGAAUCCUCUGAAACAAAAGAAAGGUGCGGAGAAUGAUAAUCAAAAUCCAAAUCCGAGGUUACUAAGGAAACCAUCCCAGACAUGGAGAUAAGGCCGGCCGGCUCUAAGGUACAGGUAUCAAACAAUGUAGCUUGGGACGCCAAGCUGAAAAGUAUUAAAGGUCCUGAUAAUAAUGAAUCUCAAUCGAUUAUAUCAUGUCUGGAACAUAAUGGAUUCAAUAAGGAAUGUCGACGUAAGAUGAUUUAUUUGCAUACAAGGUAGCACUUGAGUUUAUGAAUAUAAGCGAAGAUCAUUAACUCACGUCAAUAUAAGAGUGCGCACUCGUAGAACAGAUUGGAUUGAAUAGAAACGUGGGGUUAAAUAGUUUAAGGAAGAAAUGCGUAUUUGGCCAUAUGAUUAAGACGCCAUAUGAUGUUAAAACCAGUGGAUAUAAAUGGGUCUUGUGAGGAAUAGAAAUCGUGAGAUAUAAAGCUGAUGUUGCACAAGGAUUCUCACAAAGACCAGUAAUAGAUUAUGAGGAGACAUACUCCCAUGUGGUGGAUGCAACUACUUUUAGAUUUCUCAUAAGUCUGGCUAUAUAAGAGAGAAAAUUAGACUUGCAGCAAGUUGAUGUAGUGACUGCAUAUUUAUAUGGUCCACUGGAUAAUGAAAGUACUAGAGGGUAUUGAGCUGAAAGUACAACAAGUUCUCGAGAACAAUAUUGAUAAUCAUCAAAGUAUAUGAUCUGAAUAUCCUAGGAACCUCUGGAUACAAUUUCCCAAACAGUUGAAUAUCUCAAGAAAGAGUUUGAGAUGAAAGAUCUUGGAAAACAAAGUUUUGUUUGGGAUUACAGCUUGAGUACAUUAACAAUGAAAUCCUUGUGCAUCAAAUAGUAUAUACAGAAAAGGGUACUCAAGAGAUUUAAUAUGGAUCAGUCUCACCCAUUAUCUAGUACAUGGGCGUGAGAUCACUUGUUUUGGACACUGAUCCAUUCAGUCCAAAGGUGGACGAUAAGAAGUCCAUUUAGUCCUGAGAUGGACGAUGCAGAAGUCUUGUUUUAGACACUGAUCUAAUUGGUCCAUAAGAAGGACGAUGAAGAAGCCUUUGAUUUUGAUUUAUUUUAUACUAACCAGCCCAAAGAUGGGUUAUUUGGUUUUGUUGAUUUGUUUUCAGACAGGUUAUGUUUUACACAUGGUGGUACACGUUUAUCACAGCAACAUCAUCCAAGAUUUUGUGUGUGUGUAUUUGAGGUCGAUGACUCAAUAUGUUCGAUCAGAUUGUGGCAUGACCGAUGGUAAAGAAGAACCAACUAUCAUGUUCGAGGACGAAACAUAUUCUGCCCAAGAUCUUCAUCAUCCACGGAUUGCAGAAAAUUGGAGAGGUCUAAGGGAUCUUCAGUAAUGUCCAAAUCAUGGGGAGUAAUGUGUGUUGUACUAUUUUUCCUUCACCAUGGUUUUAUCUCAAUUGGGUUUUCCUGUUAAGGUUUUAAUGAGGCAACAUUAAAACACAUUACAAGCUCUAAAUGGUUAUGGCAUCCAAGGGGAGGUGUUAUGAACCAGAUUGUGGAUGGCUCAUAACCAAGAGAUUAUGAUUUGUAAUUUUUUCAUUUAUCUAUGACAAUAUAAUCUUCUAUAUAACGAACUUCUAUGUUAUGAAUAAAGAUAGACUUUUCCAUUACUUUUAUAGCACAAGUUACUUAUUAGUGAAUCGAUUCAGUAAAAGAUCAAUAAUGUGUGUUAGUUAUAGAUUAUUUUGACUUAAUUAAUUAGAACACUAAAGUCACACCACGCUUCUUAUUUAUUUACAUUUACGAUGUCCUAUUCCAUUCAAAAACGGAUACGAAAGCUUUUGUCAUGCUUCUAAAUGUUUAUGAAUUCUUUUCCUUUUUACUAAAUGUUUAGGAACUCUUUGAUCAUGAAUGUUUUCUUUCUUGAACCAAAAUACCCUUUUAAAACACUUUCUUAAAUAUUUAUGACUCCCUUCAUAAAUUAAAGCCAUUUCUUUCAGAGAGUUUAUUUCACUCUCUAGCCUCAAAGAUUCAUCAAAGGGUUUUGUGAAUCAUGUGUUGAUGGUUCAAGUCGAAAAAGAAGCAAUUUUUUCAACAGAGUACUUCCCUAAUUGGGUGUCUCGUGUCUCUAACCAAGGCAAUUGCAAGUCCAUAUUUGCAUUAUUAUAAACCACUUAAUAAUAUGAUUUUAACACAUGAAUGGUCUAAUAAUAAGCGAAUUCUGCUGAGAUAAGCGAUCCAAAUUCGAAACAACUCCACAAUGCUAAACAUGUAUGGUCAUGAGAUAUGAAUAUCUAAUUCCCAUUGUAAACAACUAGACCUAUCUUGCACCGGUAGACAGAUCCCCAAAGAAUAUUCGGUUGGGAUUCGGUCCGUCAGACACCUCUGAUUAUUCAAAAAUAAUAUAAUAAUAAUAUGAUUCUGUGUAUGCAUUUUAAAUGAAUGGGUUUUUAUCAUAGAAACAGCACUUAAAAAUGUAUAGACUGUUCUUGAAAGGACUAAUGAUUUUUACCCAAAAAAAUGUCUAUGGGACAUUCAAUAAUAAUAAUUUUCUCAAAAUCUCAAAAUGUAUAGACUGUUCUUCAAAGCAUUAAGCACCAAUGAUUAAUUAAAAAAAUUGUUAUUCAUGAUCAGAUAACAACUAUUUUCGAGUCUUGGAUCUUCAAGCGUAAAAAGGUGUUUUUACUCACAUAUGGUAAAUACAAGUCAACAGCAAAUGAUGCAAAAAAAAAAAUCAUGUCUGGAACAUAAUGGAUUAACCAAAUUUCUUUUUCAUAUAAGUAUUUAGCUCUUCGCCAAGUAUUAAAAAAAACACUAGAUAGAUCAUCUCAUAGGCUUAUAGAAAUCUUUUUUUUUUUUUUGCCAAAACGCCAAUAUUAAAAUGUGCAAGUAAGCUACAUUAGUACAUUUUUCUUCAAAAAAAAAGCUAGAUCGAUAUAUCAUCAUAGGCUUAUGAAAACCCUUUAACAAACAAAAACAAAUCAUCAUACGCUUUGGAUACCAAGGAAAAGCACUGCCAAAGAACAAAUGAAAAUCUUCUUCUUCUUCUUCUUGAUUCCAUCACAUUCCUAUUACAUAUGCUUUACUGAAAUGUUAAACAAUUCAUAUUCAAUAUCCAGUAGAACAGCCGUUCUAUAUAUGUGAUUAUUCUUAAAAACAUACGAUAUAUUUUUUUUGUUCUAGUGGCAAAUAUCAGUUUGAAUACUUGAGUUAAUUUUUAUAUAUAAAGUGCACAUGUCUCUUUCGCAAAGCUGUGCGUUUCAUUUAUGUGAUUUGUAAUCUUUUUUUUUUUGAAUUUAGUGGACUGUUUCCAUAUAUUUGGGCUUCCAGUAUGUGUUACCUAAUAUCAGCCUAUUGAAAAUUUAUUCACUGUCUUCGUGGUCAACAUUGAGAAAGAUCCUGAUCUUUUUCUCUUCCUCGAGCCGUGGAUAUGAGUAACGGAGUCACCGUACUUAAAGAAAGAAGCCAUUAAACCUUGCAUUCAAUCUCUACUAACUCUUUCAUUACUGCAAAACCUCUGAACUCUUCAGCUUUGUUGUGAUCUGAAACCUAUAAAUAGGCACCUCCGGCUUGAUGGUUCCCACAGAUUCAUCCGUCUUUUCCACUCGAUUUAUAGAAAUACUCCUCCAACAACGAUGGCCGCAUCCCAGAUCUCUUUCGGAGUUGAAGCCAGGGUAUUAGUUGGCGAGAUGGAUCUGCUGUCGAGAGAAUACUGAAACGAUUGAGCCAUCGGCUGGGGUUUGCAUAGAUUCACCCAAGUGAUCGGUGGUGGCUGUGGUUGCCGAAGAAGGCUGAGGAUGGAGAGGAGAAGCUAGAGGCCGUAGACGAAGCCAACUCCAAGGACGGAGAAGAUGACGACGGCAUGGCUUUAGAGUAAGCACCGCAGAAACGACCGAACAGUGAUUAGGAACGGAGCACAGGGCCGGUUGAUUUGGUACAAGACGAAUUGGUCGCCAUUGUUUUUCUUUCCAUAUUUAAAAUUUGAAGAAGUCUUCUUAAGAGGAGGAAGAAGAAAGAAAGAGGUCAGAAUGGCUAACCCAUCCCCAGGGCCGGCUGAUGACCAAGGGCCAGCAGUGCACCCGCCCAGGGCCCAUUGUUGGAGGGGGCCCAUAAUUUUUUUUUUUUUUUAUGUAGUAGUGCAAUUUAAUUUUUUGUAAAUAAUACAUAUAUUUUUUUAGAAAAACAGAAUCAAUAAAGAAAAAAUUUAUCGUACUUUUCUUUUUUACUUAACUGUUAGAAAUUAACUUGACUUUGAAGUAUAGCCGACUAAAGAUGUUAUAUUUUGAAGGUUUUUGUAGAAGCAAAUGAUUUCAUUCUAAAAAAAAAAAAGCUAUAAAAAAAGCAAGACUGUUUUAUUUUUAUGGUUGUGCUUACCUUUUCAAACGAAAAUGAUUUUAUUUUACCUUGUAGCUACAAUAUCAAAAUUUCAAUUUCAUUGGUUAAGGGUCACUUUUUUUUGCCCCAGGGUCCGUAAAAGGUUUGAGCCGGCCCUGCCCAUCCCCACAAGCCUUUCAAUUCUCCAGUCACCACUAUCUUCGUUUUGAACAGAAGCUUGAGCUCCAACUUUAGACUAUGUCAACAAUAAGAUACCGAAAAACACAAAUGUUUUUUUUUCUUAAGACCAUCUCCGUUCACCAUACUUUUUACUCUAAAAUAUAAUAACUUUAUAAUAGAGUUGUGGUAUACUCUAAUGAUACUCUAUUUUAGAGUGGAAAAUAAAGUGAUGAACAAAUAAAAAACAACUUACUCUAUAUAUAGAGUAAAUCCAUUUUUUACUCUAUUAUAGAGUGAAAAAUAAAGUACAAUUGGAGCAUUUUUAUUCUAAACUAUAUUUUAGAGUGAAAAAUAGAGUGGGGUUGGAGAUGCCCUAAGUUAUAGCAGAAUUUUUUAAUAAACUAAAACCUCUUCAGCUUGGAGUUGGAGAUACCCUAAGUGAUUUAACUUUAUUUUGUUUUAACAAGCUAUAUAAUUAUAAAAUCAUAUGAAUAAAAAUCUCAUUUAAUAGAUAUUUUCAGAAUAUAUAUUUAUUAUCUAAAUUAAACUAUAUACAAUAUAAAAUACUUUAAUAUAUUAAUUUAGAAAUUGCAUUAACAAAUAUUGAAACUUUAAUAUUUAAUUCCGAAUUUGUAUUAAUUUUUUAAAGGAAAAUGUCAAAGUACAUAUCAUGCAUUAUCAUAUGACAUCCAAAGAAUCCUAUAAUAUAGAAUUUUAACCACAGUACAUAAUUUGUUACUAACAAUUUUGUUCAAAAAACAAUAUUAUGCAAAUAAGAUUAUGAGCAUUGUUCAAAAUUGAUUAUAUAUAUAUAUAGAUAUUUGAAAAUAUAGGUGGUACAAAUAAAUCAAAACAUAUAUAGGACAUGUUGAAGAAAAAACUUCAAAAAAUAAAUUUUCUAAGACCCUUAAAAAUUACGAAAUUAUUGGUUCUAAAGCCAAAGUAAAAUUUAAUUAGUGUAUCUUUAACAAUUAUUUUAUAUUAAACAUAAAUAAGAAAUAUAAAAAAAAAUAUUCAGACCAUAUCUAAGAUCUAAUUCAUUAUUUAUUCGUUUUGCUCAUUAUGUUAUACAUAGCUUUUAAUAAUAAAAUAGCAAUUUUUUUUUUUGAAACACCUAAAAAGCAAGUUUUUAUCAUUAAAAAUUUCGUUAGACAAAACAAUGAAAAUAAUUUUAAAAUUGCCUAACGGCAUAUAUUUUAUAACACAUAUAUAUAUAUAUAUAAAUAUAUAAAUAUAUAAAUACAAAACAUAUAAAAAAAUUAUAGGAAAAUCUCGGGUGUAGCCCGGGCCGAUCCUAGUAAAAUUAUAUUUGGGUUAGUUAAUCAGUCUCCAUCCAUUAAGAAUGUAAAUUUUCAAAAUUUUGAUAAAAAGCUUCUUCAUAAAUUAAUUCUGGAUUUUAAUAUCCAACAAAUAAUACAUGUUUUCUGAGAAAAUAAAACAAUUAAAAAUUUUGGUUGUUCAGUCGAUUUGAAAUUUAGAGGAUUUGCCAAAAAUAACACAAAACUUCAAUUUGAAUUCAAAUUUAUACCUUAAACUUAAUCAAAUGCAAAAAAAUAACUUUUAAAAUAGCAAAAUUACAAUUAUAUUCUCAUGAACAAAUAAAAAACUUGUAAACACUUAUACGAUUAUAGCCUUCAAAUUUUUUUUUAAACUAUGAAGUCUUAUUCGAGAAGACUUAUCGAGAAGUUUACUCACAUUGAGAAGAUUUUUUGAUAAGUCUACUCAUGUAUUUAAACCUAAAAUUAAUUUAUAAAAUUAUAAAAAAUGAUGAAAAUCAUGUAAAUAUAAAAAAUUAUAAAUCAUGUAAAUUUAAAUUUAAUAAAAUUGAAUUGUUUUUCACAUAGAUGAAUGAAUAUAAUUUGUAAGUCAUGAUUUUCCAUUAGUUAUGAUUUGGUAACAUAUGUUCAAGUAAUGUUGAUAUUUUAGGGUUAUAUUUUAGAAUCUUAAAUAUUUUAUUUAAAAAAAAUUGACAAAUAAGUGUAUAUAUUUAUUUAGAAAUUGAUUUUAUGUUCAAUAAAGUGUUUAUUACUCUCUAGUUAAAAUAUUUGAUUUUAGGGUGUAGAGUUAGAAGACUCCCUACGAAGUUUACUAAGAAGUUAUUCACUAGCAAAAGUUAUUCAUUAGCAAACAUCUUCAGAAGUCUUCUAGUAGUGAAAAGUCUUCACUAACGAUUUUUUAAACUAACUGAAAUUCUUGUCUCCUUAUAUAAAGAAAAUUUACACAUUCUCUUUCUUUCUCUCAGAUUGUUAUUAAAAAAUGUAAUGUUUCUCAAUAUAAAACUAUAUAGCCUCUGUUUAAUCCCUUUGAUCUUGAAAACAUCCAUCCUUAAAUCAAUUUCUCAUAUUUUUGUCUAAUGUCUUUUUCACUUUUUGUUUUUGCAGGUUUUCAUCUUCCGCUCCAAAAUAUUACGUCUAUAAAAUUUCUGGAUAUGUAUUGUGUUCUGGUUUGUUAGAGUCGAAUAAAAAUAUAUAUUCAACCUAAUGUGAUUGUUUUAUAUAUUAUUUAAGCGUAAAAAUUCUAUCAAUUACCAAGAUAUGGAAUGGAAGGCUGUGAGAGGGAAGCAUGGCCGGUGUGAUCGUGGUUCUUUUCACUAGCUAUGGUUUAAAUUGCAAUGCUGGUUUCUUCUAGCCUUUGCCUAAGUUAACUCAUAGGUUGGGAAUUUCUUUUACCAUGAAGAUUGUUUGAGCAAGCUUCUCCUUACUAUAAGGUUCUUUUACCUUAUCAUGUAAACGUUUAUGUUAUUUUUAAUUUGGAAUUUUUCAGUCAAUUUUUUUUUCAUUUGAGAUACUUGUAACAACUUCAAAAAUCAUAUCUCAUCAGAUUUCUCGCCACUAAAAAAAACAAUUUCAAACGUCGAAUUUUAAAUAUUACAAAAAGCAUGUUGUGUGUGCAAACAAGAUAGUAAAUAACUUCAUUUGAUUUGUAAAAAAAUGAUAUGCUCAAAUUAAUUCUAAUGAGCAACUCUACAGUUUUGGAAGUGCAAUGCAAUACUUAGGGAUCGUAUUCACAUGGACUUAGAUAACACAAUAGAUUUCAGAUAUCGAAUUAUGCUAGAAAAAUUAAUAGAAAGUAAGUUAAUACCUUUAAAUAAAAUGGUUUGUAAGUGAUUAAGAAAAAUAUUAAUCUUAGGUAAAUUCACAGCUAAAUGAGAAUUGUAGAACAAACAAUUGCCAAGUGUUUAUGAAAAACAAUUCUAAAUUUUAAAUCACAUCAAUCAAAUCAAUCAACUUUCGUUUCAGAGAUAAUCUACGUAUAGAUCCUAGAAUUCCAAAUCUCUUUGUGAAUUCAAUCAAUUAAGAAAAUGCUUAAGACUGAUAAGUUCACUAAAUCCCUAAACCAAAUUUCUUUUUCAUAUAAGUAUUUAGCUCUUCGCCAAGUAUUAGUUUAGGUAAAUCAAGCUUUCGUAUCUACCAAUUAGCUAAGAUAAAAGUGUAGUCUGAACAAUCUAUAUUAUAAUAGAUCAGUUUUUGCUCACUCCUCAGCGCGCCACAUCAUCGUUUUGUGGGCCUCACUUUUAAAAAGUGUAAAAAAGUGUCAAGCCCAUGGCUCGAACCCGGGUUAUUGAGAUAUAAACACCAACAUUUAUAUCACUAAGCUAACUGAUACCUUUGUACAUUGAUGGCCGAACCUAAUAUAUAUUUAUGAAGGUCGGAAGCCCUUGCUUCUUCGGCUUCCUCUGAGGGUCGGACCUACAAGUGUGUUAUGGGUUUCAUUUUUAAAUAGGAUUCAUCACGUUAUAUGAAAAAAGCUUAAGUUUGCAACAAUUAUGGUUUUCCUAUAUUGUAAACUGUUGUAGUUUAAUAUGGGUUCUUUUCAUCAUUGUCUCAAACAAGUCUGAGUUACAGAGUUGCGCCGUGUGUAUGUUCGUAAUCUAUUUUUUCACCGGUGAACUCUUCAUGUCUCCAUCUUAAAUCGCUUGAUCAUAAAUGUUCCUGAUUUGUAGCCCCUCUGUAAACCAUAUAUAUAUGAUUCUCAUCUUUGAUGAACUCAAUCUGCAUCUCCACAAAACUCAUUGAUUCCUCUUAGCUUUAACCAUCUUCUAGAAAAUGUUUCUCUCUGCCUCUCCAGUUCGUCAAACCGGCGUCCCGGCGUCCGUCACUCAACCUUCGAGUCUCUCCGUCUUGGUCUUAGUAGUCAGAGCAUAGCCUCUGGCUUCCUCCGCUUCUGGGAUUCCCUGAACUUCAAGAAAGACAGGGAGUUUGUGGGAAUCACGGUUCUUUUCCUCGAUGAAAAGGUAAGUUAAUCUUCGAUCUAUCACACUUAUUUAACAUAAUUGUUUUAAUUUAUUUCCUGAUUCUUUGUUGGAUAAUACUAUUUGCAGAUUCCGUGAUUCAUGGGUUUACUCCCGUCGGACAUGCUAAUCAUUACAUGCCAUCUUUGAAAGCAGAUUCCAUUGUGAAAGUCGAUCGUUUUGAGGUUGCUAGGUGCUCCAAGUGAUUGCGAACACAAACCUAGAAAUUGGUAAACAUAGCAUAUUUGGCAGCUCCAAGCAAGAUUACAAUCAGGCAAAUUCAAGUGGAAUGACAUACCAACAACUGAAACUGGUAAUUAGUCAACAACUUAUCCCAUAUUUUCCUUAUCUGAAAAAAUCUACUGUGUUUCUGAUCUAUUUUUUCAUCUACGCAACUUUAGCCUCUGUCAUGGAUAGCUCUCUCCCAAGAAUUGCAUUGACUAUGGUUUCUGGGAAGAAAAAGAUCUUGCUCCUGAAAAAAGACCGUGACAACCCUGUUGUAAGAUUUUAGUUUGUGCAGAACAAAAAACCUUGAUUUAUUUUCUAUUUAGUAUAGUGAUAGUUGUUGACAAUCAUUAGUUAUUUGCCAAUAUGUUUUUUAUGCGGCAUUUCAGAACUCUCCAUUCCAAGCGGAACAGCAGAUGGAAGCUAAUUUUUCCGGAAGCUCCUCGACUUCAAGACAGAAUCAGAAGAUAGAUGUUGGUGGGAGGUUAAUCAAGGGAAUACUUCAGAGAAGUGAGACGGCAUAGCCAGACUUCAUCUUUUGUACAACCUGAGCAAAGAGUGGAACCCACAAAACACGAGAGAAGAAAAAACAAAACACGAAAUUAACAUAUUCAGAUCUUCUCUCUUGCAUGUCUAACAUCUGGCGCCGACGAAACUCAACACCCACGGCAGACGAAGCUGAUGCAAGUAAACCUCUCUUCAAUCAUGCUUAAAAUCAAUCUACGCUUUUCAAUCUCACAAACUAAGAAACAAUUUUACCUACAUGAAUCAGGAAAUUAGUGCCCACAUUCCCGACAUAGAGAAAAAAAGGAGUUGAAGUCCUAACAGUUUUUUCAGUAUUAGACUAAACCACAGAUUCAAGGCCCAGUUAUUUUGAAACCCUAACAUUUUAAAUCCAAAUUUAUUAUCUUUUUCCAUGCACUAUUUGAUUUAUAUACAAACAACUACCUAAGUAAACACUAACAAGUUUCAUCACCCUCAACUUUGAACAUAUAAGAUAUAAAAAUAUCAACAUAUGACUUCGUCGUUCAUUCUUAUAUCAAACUCAUCAACCCAUGUAAUAUCCAAAGUUCCAUCAAUCACUUUAUAGACAAAAAAAACAAUAAAAUCCCGUAAACAAAACUAUACAAUACAUCUAUAACGUAGCCGACUCCGCGCUUGCGCAGGGACUAUGCACCUAGUAACUUUAAAAUAGUUAAAUAUAUCUAAAAACUCGUUAGAGACUAUCUUGCAAAUACUAUAAACUUUUAGGCCAAAUUGCAAUUCUUUGAAACUUGUAAAAUUUGUCGGGCCUCUUGGUCAGGAUGGGUAUUGACGGAUACUAAUAGAUUGACACCAGGUUGAAAGAUUGACAUCAAGAUCACUUUUUCAGCUCCAAUUUUCUUUAUGCUCCAAAUUGAGUUAGAAUCUUCAAUCUUGUCCAAAAUGCAUAUGAAUUUAUAAAGACUCUAAAACGAUUCGAAACAUAAUAAAUAUCUUGCAAUAUAAUUCAUAUCAUGGUUCAAAUUCAUAAAAACAUGAUAUAUCAAAAAAUUUAAUGGUGGAUUUAUCCAUAAAUAAAUUACCUAACGAUCGAAAUUCUGCAGUACAACGAAUAAAGGAGUUUUUUAACACCAUAAAGGAGUAUGUUUUAAAUAACUUUUAUACAUGUUUUUUAUUAAUAUAAAAAUCAGAUAUAUAUAAUCCAAAUCGGCAAUUAACCAAUCCGCUGCGAUUGGGAAGAAAUGACCGUAGACACUACUAUAGAAUUUUACUAUAAAAAUUAGUAUCGCAUUCAUUAUUAUAAUUGUUUUUUUUGAAAUUUUAUUAUAUUCUUUCCGUUUCAUAAUACAUGAUAUUUCAAAAGAUUUGUGUUGUGUCAAAAUAUAAGAUGUUUUUGACAUAUUUAUACAAUUUUAACUUUAUCAGAAAAAAAUGAAUUAGAAAAUGUUUAGUUAAUUAUAUUCUUACAAUAUUUUUAAUGAUUGGUUGAAUUAUUUUAAUUUAUAGUUUAAUAGCUUUUCCUUACGUAGAAGUAAUUUUUUUUAAUAUUUGUGGUUUUAUCUAUAACAUUAUAUAUUAUGAAAUAGAGAGAGUAACUGUUGUGGCGAUUUAAACAUUGAGAAAUAAGAAGUUACAUUGUAAUUUUGUGAAUGCGAUUGCAUGUACAUUUUGUCAAUAAUACACACGCGUUUGCAGUAAUCAGCGUGAGAAUAUUAUAGAUGCACGCCGCGCGUAUGCAUGGAUCAGCAACUGUAUUUUACGUGUGUAUAAAUUGUGUGCAUGAUGGCAUUCAUUUUUAUUUAAUAAACAGAUGACAAUUACUUUUCAAUAAAUAAAUAAAUAAAUAAAUAAAUAAAUAAAUAAAUAGCAACAAUUGGAAAACUUUUUGGUGUGAAAACAGUAUAUUAUCAUAUGCUCUCUCCUUUUCAUGCAUGCAUGCGGGAAAACGGUCAUUUCGUACCUAACGAUAUGUUCAAUUCAUACCCGACUUAUAUGAUCGUGCUAAAACAUACAUAAUUUUUCAAAAAUUUCACAUACCUAAUGUUUAUUUUUUUGGCCAAAUCAUACCUCAGUCGCCACAUCAGCUGACACAUCAUAUAAUUUUGCUGAUCUAGAUGCUACGUCAGCUAAUUUUGGUGACGAAAAUGCCAUGUGUACAUUUUAAUGAAAAAAAAACAAAAUAAUCAUUUUAUAAAAAUAUUUUUUAGAAAAUGUAAAAUUUAUAAAUUUUUAUCAGUUAGUAAAAAUAAUAAAAAUUAAUUAAAUAAUUAAAUUUUAAUCUUAUAUAAAAAAUAUACAGUCUCUGUAAAUGUCUCGAUCAUAUCAUAAUACUGUCCUUAUAAAGUUAUAUAUGUUGUAAUGUAUCAAAUUCAAUACUACUGUUGCAUGUGUUGCUCUUGAUUAUCUUGAUUAAUCAUGAGUAUGCUAUUUACAUUUAAACAAUUUAGAUUCACAUAUCAUAAAUAUUUUAAAUAAACACAACCAUAAUUAACUAUGAAUAUGUUAUUUACAUUUAAAGAAUUUAGAUUAACAUAUCAUAUUUGUUUUUAAUAAAUACAAUUAUACAUGACUGCAAUACUAGCAUUGAAUUUGAAUAAUUACAACACAUAUAUAACUCUUAUAAAGACGGUACUGUGAUAUGAUCGAAACAUUUACAAAUCUAUCUAUUAUAUAAGAUUAAAAUUUAAUUAUUCAAUUAUUUAUGUUAAUUUUCACUAAAUAAUAAAAAGUUAUAAAAUUUUACAUUUUCUAAAAAAAAUAUUUUUAUAAAAUGAUUAUUUUUUAAAUGUACAUGUGACAUUCUCGUCAGCAAAAUUAGCUGAUAUAACAUCCAAGUCAGCAAAAUUAAAUGAUGUACCAGCUGAUGUGACGACCGAUGUAUGAUUUUGAUAAGAAAAUAAACAUUAGGUAUGUUAUUUGAUUUUUUUUGAAAGUUCAGGUAUAUUUUAGCACGUUCAUAUAAAUCAGGUAUGAAUUAAACAUAUCGCAAUAUGUUGGGUAUGAAAUGGUGUUAAAAUUUUUGAAAGUUAAAAUAUAUUUUAGUACGUUCAUAUAAGUCGGGUAUGAAUUAAAAUAUUUUAGCACGUUCACGAUAUAUUAUACUCUCAAAAAAAUAAAAAUGAAAAAAAAACGAAACAUGUAUGAUGUAAUAAUUUCAUAAAUAUAUUAGCAUUGACAGAGGCACCUAUCCCUUGUAUCAACUAUAUAAGUCUCACACCAGUCUUUGUACUCUGCACUUCCAUUCAUAUAUACAAUCUCAAAAGAUGAAGAGUCACUACACAAACAUCAUUUAUGUUGUUUUUCUCUUAUUUUGUCUUUUGAUCACAUCUUCCUCUGCACAAUCCCUCAUACGACAACCCACUGAUGACCUAACCACAAUUCUACAGCGUAUGCAUGCAAUAUCUUCUGCUCUAAGAUUCGAACCCAUAUUCAAGAAAUCCUUCAAUGCCCUUUAGAUUCUGUGCUUCGGCUGUGUGUUUUCAAACAGUAUGAUACAGACACUUGCUCUAUUUUACUCAAAUGCUCGGUUUUUGUCUUGAAACAGAGGAGAAAGGAGCGCAACCAAACUCAAUCCUGGGAGAAGCGCAUUACUUAAAUAAAGAUGAUCUAGAUAUCUCUUCACGUGAUUAUAAAGGCUCACCUUCAAACUUAGUGACGGGUAUGAGAGAUCGUCCUCCAAUGUCUUACUCUCUCAGAAUGGAGUCUUUCAACACGCUCCUUCAGUCAAAUGAGACAGAGAGAUACGAAUCUCGUCCUUUUCCCGUUGGUGGAUACAACUGGUAUGUUGGUAUAUUAUUUAUUCCGGAUCUAGAACCCGUUCUAAGCAUAAACAAAGUGAAAUAUCAGUCCAUUGUUUAAAAUUUUUAAGAAUAUAUAUAAGCUCCAAAAAUUGUUUAAACAAAAUCAUCUAUUAAAAAUUCUUAUGAAAUAAGUAAAUUUUCUAUAGUCCCAAAAUCUAGUGUCCGAAUAUUACAUAUCAAAAAACUUUUGAUGGAUCUUGUUAUACAGGUCACUUAUUGUGUAUCCCAACGGGAACAGGCAGGAUAGUGGCUCAGGGUUCAUUUCUCUUUACGUAGCCAUAGACAACUCGACUCUCGUUUCUUCACAUCAAGAGGUUUUCGCAGAUCUCAGGUUUUACGUAUUCAAAAGGACCGAGAGGAAUUUCUUUACCGUCCAAGGUUCUUUCUAAUUUUCCAUUCUAUCAAGAAACAUGCAAUGUGUAUAUAGUAGUAACAUCUAUCUUUGUUUCAAUCCGCAGAUACAAAUGUAUGGCGAUACAAUAUUUUCAAAACGAUGUGGGGAUUCCCUCGGGUCCUCCCUCUUGAUACCUUCAGAAACCCGAGCAACGGAUACCUCUUCGAUGGAGAUAACUGCGAGUUUGGUGUUGAUGUGACUGUUCAUUCUCCCUUUGAAAGUUCAGAACUUUUCACUGUCUCUAGGAAUUUCCCUAACCCGAGGUUCACCUGGACUAUUCAGAGGUUCUCCACCCUGGUCGGAGAUACGCAUCUCUCUAAUACGUUCUCGGUCGGAGGAAGGAAUUGGUGAGUCCUGUCCAACACUAGUUCAAGACUAAAGCUCUUUUGAUUUAGUUAGCGUAUAGUGGUAGUAACAGAUAUUCCAU